RNAcentral lists this ribosomal RNA (468 nucleotides) under uncultured bacterium. Its description in RNAcentral is "partial 16S ribosomal RNA". It matches the Rfam family "Bacterial small subunit ribosomal RNA", at positions 28 to 507 of the family's 1533-position model. The record is from RNAcentral.
GACGAACGCUGGCGGCGUGCUUAACACAUGCAAGUCGAACGGAAAGGCCCUGCUUUUGUGGGGUGCUCGAGUGGCGAAAGGGUGAGUAACACGUGAGUAACCUGCCCUUGACUUUGGGAUAACUUCAGGAAACUGGGGCUAAUACCGGAUAGGAGCUCCUGCUGCAUGGUGGGGGUUGGAAAGUUUCGGCGGUUGGGGAUGGACUCGCGGCUUAUCAGCUUGUUGGUGGGGUAGUGGCUUACCAAGGCGUUGACGGGUAGCCGGCCUGAGAGGGUGACCGGCCACAUUGGGACUGAGAUACGGCCCAGACUCCUACGGGAGGCAGCAGUGGGGAAUAUUGCACGAUGGGCGGAAGCCUGAUGCAGCAACGCCGCGUGCGGGAUGACGGCCUUCGGGUUGUAAACCGCUUUCGCCUGUGACGAAGCGUGAGUGACGGUAAUGGGUAAAGAAGCACCGGCUAACUACGUG